AACGAACGCUGGCGGCAGGCCUAACACAUGCAAGUCGAGCGCGCCCUUCGGGGUGAGCGGCGGACGGGUGAGUAACGCGUGGGAACGUGCCCUUCUCUGCGGAAUAGCCUCGGGAAACUGAGAGUAAUACCGCAUACGCCCUUUGGGGGAAAGAUUUAUCGGAGAAGGAUCGGCCCGCGUUGGAUUAGGUAGCUGGUGGGGUAAUGGCCCACCAAGCCGACGAUCCAUAGCUGGUUUGAGAGGAUGAUCAGCCACACUGGGACUGAGACACGGCCCAGCCUCCUACGGGAGGCAGCAGUGGGGAAUCUUAGACAAUGGGGGCAACCCUGAUCGAGCCAUGCCGCGUGAGUGAUGAAGGCCUUAGGGUUGUAAAGCUCUUUCAGCUGGGAAGAUAAUGACGGUACCAGCAGAAGAAGCCCCGGCUAACUCCGUG
This 433-nucleotide ribosomal RNA is filed under the name uncultured bacterium. RNAcentral's name for it is "partial 16S ribosomal RNA". It matches the Rfam family "Bacterial small subunit ribosomal RNA", at positions 29 to 507 of the family's 1533-position model. The record is from RNAcentral.